GCACCGGCAAAAUCCGGUGCCGGGAUUAGCCUCCUGAAACAUACUUCACUGACGACACUGAGACUUUUGU
Molecule: small RNA, 70 nt
Filed under: Morganella morganii
Lineage: Bacteria; Pseudomonadati; Pseudomonadota; Gammaproteobacteria; Enterobacterales; Morganellaceae
Description: isrK
Source: RNAcentral